RNAcentral lists this long non-coding RNA (619 nucleotides) under Musa acuminata (dwarf banana). Its description in RNAcentral is "long non-coding RNA (MACU_LNC008778)". Lineage: Eukaryota; Viridiplantae; Streptophyta; Magnoliopsida; Zingiberales; Musaceae. The record is from RNAcentral.
UUCGAGGACACAUGAAUUCACCCGCGGAACUUGAUAAGGCCAAUACUGCUACUAACAUGGAUCGAACACUGCCCGAGAGACCCGACUCGGAACUAGGACUUUCGCUAUUAACCUCGAAGCUGACUAUCAUGCCCCUUGGCCUGCCCUGACUUUCUCUGAAACGGAAAUGACCUCAAAUCUCUAGUAUCAAUUUCCACUCAGCCGCUACUAUCUUUAAGGCUCCCGCUUCUGUCUUUAAGGCUUCCGCCCAUGCCUUUCACUACGACUAAUAAGGCUUUCGCUAACUGCCAACAAGACUGAAACGACAGCUUCUGAGAAUGGAGCUAUUGCUCAUAAGGAUUUCACUAGUGCCAACAAGACCUUAACUACCUGCUAUAAGAUGGGCACUCUCAACCAGGAACGCAACUUCUGCUUCUAAGCAUUAAGCUUGGAACUUAGCCCUUCACUACUAAUAGAAAAGAAUCAACACAAGGAAUAAGAAAUCAACAUAAACUCGCAAGGCUUUAACCCAUAACUCGGGAAUCCAACAGUGCACAACGAAUUGCACUCAUAAAUAAUUGAACUCCAAAGAAGAAUCAAACUAAUAAGUAAGGAUGCCUACCAAUAGACUAACUCGAAC